Molecule: non-coding RNA, 208 nt
Organism: Pelobates cultripes (western spadefoot toad)
Lineage: Eukaryota; Metazoa; Chordata; Amphibia; Anura; Pelobatidae
Source: the annotation of a GenBank genome assembly
CCUGUAAGCCUGGGUACUUAUGCACAAAGCGUUGUACGAUCAGAUUACACACAUGUGCCAUGCACGGCACAUGUGUCAACUUGCCCAAAUGCAAUGCCGCCAACAAAUUUCUUCCAUUGUCACAAACCACUUUGCCGAUCUCCAGUUGGUGCGGAGUCAGCCACUGAUCCACCUGUGCGUUCAGGGGGACAGGAGUGCUGGUCCGGUG